UAAAGUUUGAUUCCUGNCUCAGAUUGAACGCUGGCGGCAUGCCUAACACAUGNCACGUCGAACGGGUAACAGGCCUUCGGGUGCUGACGAGUGGCGGACGGGUGAGUAACGCGUAGGAAUCUGCCUGAGUAGUGGAGGACAACCCGGGGAAACUCGGGCUAAUACUGUAUACGCCCUACGGGGGAAAGCGGGGGAUCUUUGGACCUCGCGCUAUCAGAUGAGCCUGCGUUGGAUUAGCUUGUUGGUGGGGUAAAGGCUUACCAAGGCGACGAUCCAUAGCUGGUCUGAGAGGAUGAUCAGCCACACUGGGACUGAGACACGGCCCAGACUCCUACGGGAGGCAGCAGUGGGGAAUAUUGGACAAUGGGGGCAACCCUGAUCCAGCAAUGCCGCGUGUGUGAAGAAGGCCUGCGGGUUGUAAAGCACUUUCAGUGGGGAAGAAAAGCGGGCGCUUAAUACGUGCUUGUCUUGACAUCACCCACAGAAGAAGCACCGGCUAACUCCCGUGCCCAGCAGCCCGCGGUAAUACGGAGGGUGCGAGCGUUAAUCGGAAUUACUGGGCGUAAAGCGCACGUAGGUGGUUAUGUCAGUCAGAUGUGAAAGCCCCGGGCUUAACCUGGGAAUUGCAUCUGAUACUGCAUGGCUAGAGUUUGGUAGAGGAGAGUGGAAUUUCCGGUGUAGCGGUGAAAUGCGUAGAUAUCGGAAGAACACCAGUGGCGAAGGCGACUCUCUGGACUGAAACUGACACUGAGGUGCGAAAGCUUGGGGAGCAAACAGGAUUAGAUACCCUGGUAGUCCACGCUGUAAACGAUGAAACUAGCCGUUGGGGGGAAUUAACCCCUUAGUGGCGCAGCUAACGCGUUAAGUUCUCCGCCUGGGGAGUACGGCCCGCAAGGUUGAAACUCAAAGGAAUUGACGGGGGCCCCCCACAAGCGGUGGAGCAUGUGGUUUAUUUCGAUGCAACGCGAAGAACCCUUACCUGCCCUUGACAUCCUCGGAAUCUUGCAGAGAUGCGGGGAGUGCCUUCGGGAACCGAGUGACAGGUGCUGCAUGGCUGUCGUCAGCUCGUGUCGUGAGAUGUUGGGUUAAGUCCCGCAACGAGCGCAACCCUUGUCCCUAGUUGCCAGCAUUUCGGAUGGGAACUCUAGGGAGACUGCCGGUGACAAACCGGAGGAAGGUGGGGAUGACGUCAAGUCAUCAUGGCCCUUAUGGGCAGGGCUACACACGUGCUACAAUGGCCGGUACAGUGGGUUGCCAAGCCGCGAGGUGGAGCUAAUCCCAAAAAGCCGGUCGUAGUCCGAAUUGGGAGUCUGCAACUCGACUCCAUGAAGUCGGAAUCGCUAGUAAUCGCGGAUCAGCAUUGCCCGCGGUGAAUACGUUUCCCGGGCCUUGUACACACCCGCCCGUCACACCAUGGGGAAUUUGGCUGCCCCAGAAGUGGAUAGUCUAACCUU
Molecule: ribosomal RNA, 1454 nt
Filed under: Ectothiorhodospira sp. Edb1.1
Lineage: Bacteria; Pseudomonadati; Pseudomonadota; Gammaproteobacteria; Chromatiales; Ectothiorhodospiraceae
Description: 16S ribosomal RNA
Rfam family: Bacterial small subunit ribosomal RNA
Source: RNAcentral